Molecule: ribosomal RNA, 401 nt
Filed under: uncultured bacterium
Lineage: Bacteria
Description: bacterial SSU rRNA
Rfam family: Bacterial small subunit ribosomal RNA
Source: RNAcentral
UGGGGAAUAUUGCACAAUGGGCGAAAGCCUGACGCAGCCAUGCCGCGUGAAUGAUGAAGGUCUUAGGAUUGUAAAAUUCUUUCACCGGGGACGAUAAUGACGGUACCCGGAGAAGAAGCCCCGGCUAACUUCGUGCCAGCAGCCGCGGUAAUACGAAGGGGGCUAGCGUUGCUCGGAAUUACUGGGCGUAAAGGGAGCGUAGGCGGACAGUUUAGUCAGAGGUGAAAGCCCAGGGCUCAACCUUGGAAUUGCCUUUGAUACUGAUUGUCUUGAGUUUGGGAGAGGUGUGUGGAACUCCGAGUGUAGAGGUGAAAUUCGUAGAUAUUCGGAAGAACACCAGUGGCGAAGGCGACACACUGGCCCAAUACUGACGCUGAGGCUCGAAAGCGUGGGGAGCAAAC